UUUAUUUUGUUGCAAAAGAUUUUGUGCUUUCUUGUCCAUUUUUGGAAUUUGAAGAUUCAAAAGUUACAUCGUGUGUCCUUGUUAAGCUUAAUUUUGAUUAGUCAAGGUUUUGUGACUUUGAAGUUUGAAAGAAUGGACUCGAUUUGUCCUCUCAGAAUUUCAUACCUGUUUUGGUCAUAGAUAGAAUUGCUUAGCUUUGGUGAUUUCUAAAUUCUCAAGGCACUUAUUUUUUCCAUGAUUUUUGGUCAUGCAGCUCCUGCUAUGGUGAUCCAUCCACAGAGCGACGAUUUCUUGUUGUAUCUGUUCCCUAUUUUAAUAUAAAGAAGAGAUGGCAUACUUGAUUAAUUAGUUCAUUUUUGUCUAUACUCACCACAAAAAUAAUCCAUAAUAUAAUCCAUAAUAUACUUGAUUAAUUAGUUCACUUUUGCUUACAUACGUGUGCUUUAAUAUAUUUGCCUCAUGAUACUUCUUGGGUAAAUGCAUGCAUUUGGUAAUUUCGUUUUUUCAUACUCUAUUCUUUUUCAUCUCAUAUUUUAAAUUAUAAAUAUAAGUUUAAUUGUGAUGCACUACCUUAGUUUCAGUUUUAGAAGGUGGUGGUAAUAGUACACCACCCUUUUUGGUUCUGGCAAGAAGCCCUUUGGUUACAGGGGAUAGCAUCAAAUUUGUUGGGCUUGUAUACCUUAAUAAAUCUGUCUUUUGAUAGUAAAUUCAUUUAUGAGGUAGUUAUAUAUUAUGAAUUUUGGACAAUUUUGAUAGUAAUUUUGUGGACAAUUUUGUGAUUUUAGGAUAAAAAGGUAUCCUAUUGUAAGAGAAAAACAUUUAUGUCCCUAACUAUAUAUUUCUGUACUUGAUUUGCUCCAACACAAUCCUAAAUCCUAAUCACUUUCUUGCUUUGGUUGCAAUAAUAGCUUUUUGGGCUGCCUGGACUACCUUUCUCUUGCUCUUUGCUUAUCCAUAUUGCUUUUUGCCAGUCUUACAUUGAGAUUUAACAAGGUGGUGGAAGGUAUAAAAGAGGAAAAAAUCCCCAGCUUAAAUAAAAAGAAAAAUUAGUUGUUGUACCUAUACAACUUAUGCCAAAAUUAAACAGUCUCAAUUCAGAUUUUUGCCAAUUUUAAGGAUAUGGAUGUAUCAAAGAAGAACUAUCAAAAGUCAAAUAUUGAAGGAAACAAUUUGAAAAAUAAUUUGGAGUCAAAUAAAAAGGAAAAACAUAAGAAGAGAAAGAGAAGGCAUGAAAUUGAUGGGGAAGCUACAAGGAAAUGGGAAGAAGAAGGCUUCACCAGUAGAAAAAAGAAGAGAAAGAGAUUGGAAGAAAUGAGUGCUUCAAUGGCAAGCAAAAGACACAAACUUAUUGAGGAUAAUGAUCUUUAGAGUGCUGUCUCAAGUAUAGAUUUAAGAGUGCCUAAAAAGAAUCGUGUGAGAUUUGUUGAAAAGGAAAAUUAUGCUGAUGAAGUGCUGCCUUUUAUGGAGCAACUAUUGAAUGAUGAGGAUUUGUUUCAAACUCCUAGUAUUUCUAAUAGUAUAAAUUCUGAGUCAUCCAAAGACAAAGAGGGUUAGAGGACCUACAUUGUUGAAAAAAAUUUAGAACAUACCUCAUGGAAAGAUAAUUGAUGUGCAAUUUAAUGACCGCAACCAAGCUAUAAGAAAAGAAGGCAGAAAAUUUGCUAGUUUUCUUGGUAUUCUAGCUAGAACUCCUUCAAUAAUGCCUUUAAACAUAGAUGACUGGAGAUGUUAUGAUAAAGAGGAGAAAAAUAAGUUGCUGAAAAUUGUGAGGAAACGUACCCAAGCAAAUAGGAUUAAUAGGACAAAGCAAAAAAUGCCUCACAUGGAAGGAUCCAAAAGCAUUGCAACAUUGAUGGAUGAACAGGAACUAAUUGAAGAGAAGUUGAACAAUGACGAGCUAUCUAAUGAAGAAUAUAAUAAUGGUGUUGCUUGGGAAGGAGAUAUUUAUUCUCAAGUAUUGGGAAGUGAUACAAGUGGUUACGUACGUGGUUUAGGACUUGGUCCAACACCUUCUUUAUUGUGAGGUUCAUCUAUGACUCAAGAUUUCAAUGAAAAUUCUUUUAUGCAGAUGGUGUUAUACUACUGUGGGACUUAUAGUUGGUGGCUUUGUUGUAGCAUUGGCCUAGAAGAAUUGAACAUAUUUUGGACUUUUUUUUUAUUUUCUGGAAAAUGUAUUCAAAGUCAAUGAAAUGACAAAUAAACUUCUAUUAUGUAUUGACAAAUAUCAUUUUUAACAUUUUAGUUUGUCAA
RNA transcript from Arachis duranensis, 2250 nucleotides. RefSeq lists it as uncharacterized. Lineage: Eukaryota; Viridiplantae; Streptophyta; Magnoliopsida; Fabales; Fabaceae. The transcript is spliced from 8 exons. The record is from RefSeq and is a predicted model, not a curated record.